Molecule: long non-coding RNA, 1417 nt
Organism: Oreochromis niloticus (Nile tilapia)
Lineage: Eukaryota; Metazoa; Chordata; Actinopteri; Cichliformes; Cichlidae
Exons: 2
Source: RefSeq, a predicted model, not a curated record
GCACAAGGCCAACAAAAAAUAAAUGUUAAAGUGCAUUCUCUAAAAUAUCUAAAGCUGCACACAGAAACACCGAAUAUAUAACCACUGUUAAGCUGUUGUCAGGCAGAUGUUAAACGUAAGGUUAAGGUGUCAAGCAAAUAACUGAUUGGGCUGUAUCAGUUUAAUUCCACUGUGGCACAUACGAUACCUUUUAAGGAGGCAAAUUUGCACAGCAGCCUUUUAUUUGCAAAGCCAGUGCAAGUCACAGCUAGUAUCUGAUCUUUAAUUUAAAAGAAAAACUUGCUCAUGUUCUAAAACAGAGACAAAGGUGGUCAUCAUCACCUCAAGCAUCAGUGCAGGCAUCCCUACUUAAAGGUGGAAAAAGGGCAGCUUUCUGCCACAACUUAAAUUGAGCACAUACAUAUUUAUAGAUUAUCAAGAAGCAUUUCUUUUAUGUUCGUACCUUUUUGUUAGUAGUCAUGCUCUCAGCCUUGAAAGUUUCUAUCUCCUGCCAAAAAUACACCGCAUCCACUUGCAAAACUCCUCAUACAAAGAACUGCAGCGUCUAUUCCCAGCUGGGGUUUGGUACACCCUAAAUUUGAAGUUGUUCCUCUCUGCCUUUUAUCCAAAAUGGAUGCAUCCAACAUCUCAUCUGUUUUUGCAUAAAUAGCUGGCUGCUUCAGUCUUUGUGCAGGUCUCGACAGGGAAGAGCAGGCUGUGACUAAAUCACAUUUUCCUCACUCGGUAGUCACAGUAGCAUCUGUAGCAUGAGUUCUAUGUUUUAUUAUUAUUAUUGUUAUGAUUCUGCUCAUCUGCAAGUGUCUGUGUCUUUCUGAUUGUGACUGAUCUUUAUUCACAUCGAGGUCUGUGUAGACAAGAAUGAAUGAGAGGGAAUGCCAUCCAUCCAUCCAUUUUCUUAACCCCUUAUCCCAUUUGUAAUCGUCUGGAAGAGGGAAGUCUAUCCCAUUUGGCAUAGAGUGAGAGGCAAGUUUUGGACUUCACGAGGAAGCUGGAGUACCUGGAUGGAACCUUAACACGCAGAGGGAGAACUACAAAAUUCCAGAGAAGGAAUGAUUUAUAUAUAAUUCUGUAUCCUCCAGCAUUUAUAGAGUAGGACUGGCUAUAAUUAGUGGCCCAGUAGAGUACCUGCAGCAGUUUAAUAACAUUGAUGAAUUCACAACAUUUUCUUCAUAGUCAGAGAUGAAUCAGCACUUGGGUUUUGUCGAUACGGGGUCACUGCUCGUCCAUGAAUUACCAGAGAUCCUUUUUAACAUAUAAAUGCUGCAGUCCAGCACUAAAGGAUCAAUAAGCUAAGCCAAGUCUUCCCAGAAUCCUUCCUUAUACCACAGCAAUGUGGUGCAAUUAAUUUUUCACCCAUUGUCUGUGAAGGCUAUGCAAAUAUUGAAGCUUUGCUAUUCAAAUGUGGCUAUCACAAAAA